Apteryx rowi (Okarito brown kiwi) is the source of this 186-nucleotide unclassified non-coding RNA. The record is from Ensembl. NCBI's taxonomy places the organism in Eukaryota, Metazoa, Chordata, Aves, Apterygiformes, Apterygidae.
CUGACAGCCUUGAAGACUCAAGCCCUCAAUUUAUUUAUCCGCAGAACAAAUAAAGUGGGAAGAGUGGCAAAGCCCUGCUUCCUGCAUUGCAUUUCCUCUGCCUGUCACACCCCUGACCUGGGGAGACCUUCUCUGAACCAGCGAGAUGGUUGUGCAAUCUUCAGACUCAUUCAAACCUGAUUUCUU